CAGUCGCCGCGGUAAUACGAAGGGGGCUAGCGUUGUUCGGAUUUACUGGGCGUAAAGCGCACGUAGGCGGAUCCUUAAGUCAGAGGUGAAAUCCCAAGGCUCAACCUUGGAACUGCCUUUGAUACUGGGGAUCUCGAGUUCGGGAGAGGUGAGUGGAACUGCGAGUGUAGAGGUGAAAUUCGUAGAUAUUCGCAAGAACACCAGUGGCGAAGGCGGCUCACUGGCCCGAUACUGACGCUGAGGUGCGAAAGCGUGGGGAGCAAACAGGAUUAGAUAUCCCAGUAGUCCCUGUCUCUUAUAC
RNAcentral lists this ribosomal RNA (301 nucleotides) under uncultured bacterium. RNAcentral describes it as "partial 16S ribosomal RNA". It matches the Rfam family "Bacterial small subunit ribosomal RNA", at positions 509 to 807 of the family's 1533-position model. The record is from RNAcentral.